GUUGGGUAGGGGAGCGUUCUGUAAGCCUGCGAAGGUGUACUGUGAGGUAUGCUGGAGGUAUCAGAAGUGCGAAUGCUGACAUAAGUAACGAUAAUGCGGGUGAAAAACCCGCACGCCGGAAGACCAAGGGUUCCUGUCCAACGUUAAUCGGGGCAGGGUGAGUCGACCCCUAAGGCGAGGCUGAAAAGCGUAGUCGAUGGGAAACGGGUUAAUAUUCCCGUACUGGUGGUAACUGCGAUGGGGGAACGGAGAAGGCUAGGUUGUCCGGGCGACGGUCGUCCCGGUUCAAGCAGGUAGGCAGAGUGAUUAGGCAAAUCCGGUCACUUAAUGCUGAGAUGUGAUGACGAACCACCAAGGUGGUGAAGCAAUUGAUGCCCCGCUUCCAGGAAAAGCCUCUAAGCUUCAGGUUACCAACAAUCGUACCCCAAACCGACACAGGUGGUCAGGUAGAGAAUACUCAGGCGCUUGAGAGAACUCGGGUGAAGGAACUAGGCAAAAUGGUGCCGUAACUUCGGGAGAAGGCACGCUGGCGGUAGGUAAAGUCCCUCGCGGACAGAGCUGAAGCCAGUCGAAGAUACCAGCUGGCUGCAACUGUUUAUUAAAAACACAGCACUGUGCAAACACGAAAGUGGACGUAUACGGUGUGACGCCUGCCCGGUGCUGGAAGGUUAAUUGAUGGGGUCAGCCGUAAGGCGAAGCUCCUGAUCGAAGCCCCAGUAAACGGCGGCCGUAACUAUAACGGUCCUAAGGUAGCGAAAUUCCUUGUCGGGUAAGUUCCGACCUGCACGAAUGGCGUAAUGAUGGCCAGGCUGUCUCCACCCGAGACUCAGUGAAAUUGAACUCGCUGUGAAGAUGCAGUGUACCCGCGGCAAGACGGAAAGACCCCGUGAACCUUUACUAUAGCUUGACACUGAACAUUGAGCCUUGAUGUGUAGGAUAGGUGGGAGGCUUUGAAGUGUGGACGCCAGUCUGCAUGGAGCCAACCUUGAAAUACCACCCUUUAACGUUUGAUGUUCUAACCUAGGCCCAUAAACUGGGUCGGGGACCGUGUCUGGUGGGUAGUUUGACUGGGGCGGUCUCCUCCUAAAGAGUAACGGAGGAGCACGAAGGUUGGCUAAGCAUGGUCGGACAUCAUGCGGUUAGUGCAAAGGCAUAAGCCAGCUUGACUGCGAGAGUGACGGCUCGAGCAGGUACGAAAGUAGGUCUUAGUGAUCCGGUGGUUCUGAAUGGAAGGGCCAUCGCUCAACGGAUAAAAGGUACUCCGGGGAUAACAGGCUGAUACCGCCCAAGAGUUCAUAUCGACGGCGGUGUUUGGCACCUCGAUGUCGGCUCAUCACAUCCUGGGGCUGAAGUAGGUCCCAAGGGUAUGGCUGUUCGCCAUUUAAAGUGGUACGCGAGCUGGGUUUAGAACGUCGUGAGACAGUUCGGUCCCUAUCUGCCGUGGGCGUUGGAAGAUUGAGAGGGGUUGCUCCUAGUACGAGAGGACCGGAGUGAACGCACCACUGGUGUUCGGGUUGUCAUGCCAAUGGCAUUGCCCGGUAGCUAAGUGCGGAAGAGAUAACCGCUGAAAGCAUCUAAGCGGGAAACUUGCCUCGAGAUGAGUCUUCCCUGUC
RNAcentral lists this ribosomal RNA (1613 nucleotides) under Proteus mirabilis. Its description in RNAcentral is "partial 23S ribosomal RNA". It matches the Rfam family "Bacterial large subunit ribosomal RNA", at positions 1223 to 2819 of the family's 2925-position model. The record is from RNAcentral. Lineage: Bacteria; Pseudomonadati; Pseudomonadota; Gammaproteobacteria; Enterobacterales; Morganellaceae.